UGGCGCAAAGGUACUAACUGCAACUGCCUGCGACGCAGAAGGUUCCGGGUUCGAUUCCCGGUGGGUCAC
Molecule: non-coding RNA, 69 nt
Organism: Phthorimaea operculella (potato tuberworm)
Lineage: Eukaryota; Metazoa; Arthropoda; Insecta; Lepidoptera; Gelechiidae
Source: the annotation of a GenBank genome assembly